AAUAAACGUCCCAGUUCGGAUUGUAGUCUGNAACCCGACUACAUGAAGCUGGAAUCGCUAGUAAUCGCGAAUCAGAAUGUCGCGGUGAAUACGUUCCCGGGUCUUGUACACACCGCCCGUCACACCAUGGGAGUCGGAAAUGCCCGAAGUCAGUGACCCAACCGUAAGGAGGGAGCUGCCGAAGGUGGAGCCGGUAACUGGGGUGAAGUCGUAACAAGGUAAC
Molecule: ribosomal RNA, 223 nt
Filed under: uncultured bacterium
Lineage: Bacteria
Description: partial 16S ribosomal RNA
Rfam family: Bacterial small subunit ribosomal RNA
Source: RNAcentral